AAAUUCGAAUGGGAUCAAGGCGGAAAUCGGGCAUGAAGUAGAUGCUAUGUAAAUUGCAAACAUGACAACUCUUAGAUUUGAUCUUCGUUGAUAAAAAGGCCAUAACUCUCACAUCCGAACUCCGAUUGGGAUGAUUCAAGAUGUUCCGGAAAGCUAAGAAGUAGAGCUACCAUAAAAUCCAAGUUCCAAGCCAAGAACAUUCAUCCAACUUGAUGUUAAAAGUCCUUCAAUAUUCCCUUCUUGCAUUUGUUUGCGUAUUUUAGUCCAAAAGAUGUCCGAAUUGCUUUCCCUUGCUUCUUAAUGCCAAUGUUGUGUCAUCGCCUACAAAAUAACAUAGAAUGUAUGAAAAGUAACUAAGAAACAUGAAUAGAAGCAACUAAUUCAAGUAACAGAUACCGGAUAAGUAGAUAUAAAACCUACUUAUCACUAACCUUCUCUCCAAGCUUGAGGUUGAGAAUGAGAUCUUAAAACAGACAAAUAAACUCAAUACACAAAGAGUCUAAUCAAACCUCAAAAAUUGAGGAACUAGAAAAGACUAUCUCUACAUGGAACAAAUCUGCAUCAUCCAUGGACUCCCUACUCUCUAGUCAAAGAAGUACAUUCGACAGAAAAGGCUUAGGCUUUGGGGAAUCUAUCUCAGAGCCAUGUGUGAAAAAGACAAAGAAAACUAGCACUAGUAAUGCCUCAAGUUUUAGUAGAAGCAUUACCUUUGUAAAAUCCUCACAGAAGGAAGAACCAGUUCAACCCUGUUCUACUGUUUCCAUUCAUACUCAAAGGAGUAAAGGAUUUCAUGCUGGUCUGGGCUUCAUAAAAGAGAAGAGUAACCUAAUCACUACUCACCAACCUUGAAGAAUCGUAGAGUCAAGUAAGACCAACUCUACGAAUCAACUAGGAAGGUAUAGUAGAGGUAAGGCACACUCAUCACUAUUUAUGAAACCUAAGGACACGUGGAAGAAUAAGAAUCAGUUUAACAGAAGGAUAACUAAAGAACCACACAAGUCCAAAUGGAGGAUGAAUUAUCAUACACACACAGGCAUGCAUCAUACUAGAUGUUUUAUAUGCGAUAAAUUUGGUCACAAGGCUGCCAAGUGCUAUUAUAAUUCCAUGCAUAUGAGACCCAAGAUCAAACAAAUUUGGGUCCCCAAGGGCACUAACAAAAUAGGACCCAUGCAAAUAUGGGUACCAAAAUGAAGGUUAAACUUUAUGACAGGAAAAGAGCUCCACGAGCACAACCUGGUAUCUGGACAGUGGAUGCUCAAGGCACAUGACAGGGAACAAAGCCCUUCUAUCUAACUACAUAGAAAAGGAGGGUCCCUCAAUCAUCUUUGGAGACAACGGCUCGGGCAAGACAAGAGGAUACGGCUCUGCUGGCAAUGGUGCAGUAUCUUUCAGCAAAGUAGCAUAUUUGGAAGGUCUCCAACACAACCUUCUAAGCAUCAGCCAACUCUGCGACAAGGGCCACCAAGUAACAUUCCUCAACAACCAGUGUCAAGUCAGAGAUCUGAAGACUUCUGCUGUAAAGCUAACCGGGACAAGAGAAGGAAAUGUCUACACAGUGAAUCUUGGUCAACUAAGCUCAGACGAGACAAUAUGUUUUCUGGCAAAAGCAUCUGAAGAAAUGAGCUGGCUAUGACAUAGACGGUUGUCCCACUUAAACUUCAAAAGCAUGUCUAAACUGGCAUCAAAAGAUCUCGUUGCUAGCCUACCUAAGUUCAACUUCGUAAAAGAAAGGUCAUGCAAUGCCUGUCAGCUUGGAAAGCAAACUAGAAGCUCAUUCAAGAGCAAAACUGCCAACUCUAUCGACAAGCCCCUGCAGUUGCUCCACAUAGAUCUAUUUGGGCCAAUUCCAACAACUAGUCCUGGAGGAAAAAGAUACUCUCCAGUUAUAGUCGACGACUACACCAGAUUCACAUGGGUAUUCUUCAUAACCUCAAAGGAUGAAACGAGCUCCCAAUUAGUCAAGAUGUUCAGACUGGUGAUGAACGAGAAAGGAGAGAAAAUCAAGGCCAUAAGGAGUGAUCAUGGAAGAGAAUUCGACUUCUCAGAAAUGGACCAGUUCUGCACAGAUAAUGGCAUCAGUCAUAACUUCUCAGCUCUACGAACUCCUCAACAAAAUGGAGUAGCUGAAAGAAAGAACAGAACCUUGACAGAGUCUGGAAGAACUCUACUAGCAGCAGCUCAUCUGCCUGAAUACUUCUGGGCAGAAGCUGUCAACAUUGCAUGCUACACGUAAUUUAUAGCAUUGAUACACUCUACGAUCAAGAAGACACCCUACGAACUAUGGAAAGGAAGAAAGCCAAGUGUCAGCUACUUUCAUGUUUUCGGCUGUGCAUGCUACAUUCUCAACAAUGGAAAGCAAUACUUGAAAAAAAUUCAGCCCAAGUCAGACGAAUGAAUCUUUCUUGGAUAUGCCACAGACAGUAAGGCCUACAGGGUGUUCAACAAGAAGACACUGAAUGUUGAAGUCUCGAUUCACAUCAUCUUAGAUGAAACAGACCUAGACAAAACAAUGCUUCAAGACACUACGACCGAUAGUGCAGACACUACGAAUGAAGUCGUCUAGCUCAACACCACGAUCGUAGUGCCAGAAAGUGAAAUCAUUGAGCAAGAAAAUGAGAUCGUAGAGAGGUCUAUGCAAGACAACGAACCUCCACUUCAAGAAGAAGAAAUAGAUCUUGAAGAAUUAAGACAAGAAGGCAUCAGGACAGAUGUCCCAACCGAAAACAGAUGGGCCAGAGAUCAUACUCAAGAUCUAAUCAUUGGAGAUCCGAGUGCUAGAGUCAAAACAAGAGCUGCCACCCAGAAUGAAUGCUUUUAUCUAAGCUUCCUAUCACAAAUGGAACCAAAGAAGAUAGAGGAUGCUAUGGAAGACUCCAGUUGGAUAGAAGCCAUGCAGGAAGAACUCAACCAAUUUGAACGAAGUAAAGUAUGGAGAUUGGUACCAAGACCAAAGAGUCAUCCUGUCAUUGGAACCAAGUGGGUCUUCAGAAACAAAAUGGAUGAAGAUGGAGUUAUAACCAGGAACAAGGCAAGACUAGUGGCAAAGGGCUACUCUCAAGAAGAAGGCAUUGACUACGAUGAGACAUUUGCACUUGUUGCCAGACUAGAAGUCAUCAGAAUCUUCCUUGCCUUUGCUACUCACAUGAAGUUCAAAGUCUUUCAGAUGGAUGUCAAAAGUGCAUUCCUAAAUGGAGAACUCCAAGAAGAAGUCUAUGUAGAGCAACCUCCAGGUUUCAUCAAUCAGUCUCUUUCCAAUUAUGUUUAUAGAUUAGAUAAAGCCUUAUAUGAUCUUAAACAAGCAUCUAGAGCAUGGUAUGAAACACUAACUAACUUCUUGAUUGAAAAUGGGUUCACUAGAGGUAGAGUAGAUACCACAUUAUUUCUUAGAAAGCAUAAAGACAAAGUCUUAUUAGUUCAAAUAUAUGUUGAUGAUAUUAUUUUUGGUUCUAUUGAUGAAAAGUUAUGCAAGAGAUUCUCCAAGCUAAUGCAGAGCAAGUUUGAAAUGAGCAUGAUGGGUGAGCUGAAUUUCUUCCUUGGAUUGCAAGUAAAGCAGACUGAUGAAAGAAUCUUCAUAAACCAAGCCAAGUACAUCAAAGACCUACUCAAGAAGUAUGGCAUGGAAUCAGCCUUUCGCAUGAAAACCCCAAUUGCUUCUGCAACCAAACUUGACAAAGAUGAAAAAGGUAAAAGUAUUGAUAUAACUCAAUACAGAGGUAUGAUAGGCUCUCUUUUAUAUCUAACUACCAGUAGACCAGACAUAAUGUUUGUAACAUGCAUAUGUGCUAGAUUUCAGGCUAACCCUAAAGAAUCUCAUUUAUCUGCUGUAAAGAGGAUUUUCAGGUAUCUCAAGGGUACACCUUACUUGGGGCUUUGGUACCCCAAGGAAUCCUCAUUUGAACUAACAGGAUACACAGAUGCUGAUUUUGUAGGCUGCAAAAUAGAUAGAAAGAGUACAAGUGGCACCUGUCAAUUGCUAGGAAACAGACUUGUGUCCUGGUUUAGCAAAAAACAAAACUCAGUGUUUACUUCAACUGCAGAAGCUGAAUACAUUGUUGUUGGCAGCUGCUGUGCUCAGAUCCUAUGGAUGAAAAAUCAGCUAGCUGAUUAUGGGUUUGAUUUCAAAUCCAUUCCCAUUCAUUGUGAUAACACAAGUGACAUAGCAAUAACUCAUAAUCCUGUUAUGCAUUCAAGGACUAAGCAUAUAGAAAUAAGGUAUCACUUCAUUAGGGAUCAUGUGCAAAAUGGAACUAUAUCUUUACAAUAUAUUCCUACUGAAAAUCAACUUGCUGAUGUUUUUACAAAACCUCUAGAUGAAUCCAGAUUUAAUAAGUUAAUAAGUGAACUAGGCAUGUUAAAUUUACAACCAUAAAAUAUAUGCUCUAGUUUGUGCUAACCAUAACAGACACAAAAUGCUAAGCUCAAAGUCGUAGACAUGAUCAAGGGAAGUCCACGAUCGUAGAACUAAAGUGACAUGAAAGAAAACGAUCGUAGUGCAGACUCAAUGAUAGCAAAACCUCAAACAUCAAGAGGAGGAUUAUGUGAUGAUAAGUCUCAAAAAAAAAAAGCAAUCUCUCUGAUAAGCGCCUCAGGAACAAACCUAACCCUUGACUCACUCCAAGAGGUUGGCCCUUCCUGAGUUACCUUAAAAGAAUGCUAUGUCAAAAACUCAUCACAAGGAUCCGGUCAGACUCGACGAUCGUAGUUCAGACACGACGAUUGAUAGACAGACUCGAUGAUCAUAGCUCAAACACAAUGAUUGCUAGACAGACUCGACGAUCGUAGCUUAGACACGACGAUUGCUAGACAGACUCGACGAUCGUAGCUCAGACAGAACGAUCACAAAACUACCUCAACGAUCGUAGUCCUCCCUAAGGACACAUCAGCUCUGCAGGAGCCAAGGACAAAUCAGUACAAUCCUUAUCAGUCAAACUCGUAGAGCCAAGCAAAAGUCGACACCUGUCCCACUAAGCAAAAAGGAGAGAGGGAAGUUACAAGUACAAAAUUGAAAUCGUCUUUUUGAAAUCAGAAGUUCAAAAGAUUAUCUCUCUCAUCCUCUCUCAAAGCAGAAACCCUAAAUCAAAAGAAAGCUCAGUCAAAUCACACUUCUAGCAAGAAAAUCAAUGGCGGCUUCCAGUGUUAUCUUCGGCUACAGACUCUAUUUUGACGAGUUCAAAACAGCUGAACCCAAAUUCUACAAGACUCUGGCGCUACUGAAGAAGGCGGGUCUCGAAGAAGCCUUGGGCACAGACACAUUGAUCUAUCCCAAGCUAGUGAAAGAAUUCUACAAGAAUGGUGUUUGAAUACAACACCAUCACUACGAGAGUAAAGGAAGUGGAAAUCAGACUGAAGGCCGAAGACAUCAACCUUGCCCUAGGUCUCAAAAAUGAAUGGUAUCCAGUCAUAGAUAUCGUAGACUUCCAAGAGGGACUUUGUGACGCCCCCAAAUUCGGGUACUUGAAACCCUCAUUCAGUGCUUCACGAUAUCCAACAUUCAACAUAAUAUAAAUUAAACUUUAUAACGUUAUUACAUCAAAAUUAUUCUAACCCCAGAUACGUAGACCUUUAAGUGUUCAUUACAUGAUAGUUUAAUAUUUACAAACAUGUAAACUAUCUAUUACAACGACUCUCAGCUAUUUUGUUAUUUUUCCUUUUCCCUUAUCCUUUCCAGACCCUUCUGCUCUAGUCUACUCAGCUGAAAACAUUUAUAAUAAAACAAGUAUGAGCAUUUAAUUGCUCAGCAAGUAAUAACAUUCUUUAAGGCUCAAUAAGAAAUAAAUGUUUUCUUUAAAGCAUACUUUGACAGUGAAUCAAAACUGUAAAGCAUUAAAUCUUGAAUCAUUCUCAUUUUGUUGAAUAUUAUACAAUAUUGAAUAACUGAGAGGUUUUAAGACCAUGAACAUAUUUUUCUUUUCUUGAAAAGGUUCAAUCAGAAAUUUAAUCUGUGAACCGUCUUAUCUUACGAGCACGUAGGGUGAUCAACCCUUUAUGCCCUGUAUUGAUCAAUACUAUCUUAUCUAGAACAAUUUCCAUGUUCUACAUCAUCACUCCCAGAGUGCAAUAAAAAUAUCCUAUUUAAGGGUAUGUCCAUUCUCUGUUUUAGAUUCCAACUACAACAAUAUAGCUGGAUAGCUUAAAUCAUGGCAUAAUAAUAUUUCAAGACUUAAUAUAAAGAAAUUGAAAUAUUUUACAUCUGUGUCUGGCCCGAAAGAAUGGCUCAGACUUCUUUGCGACCUGCUCAUGCAUAUUAAAUUUUAUUUGGUAUACAUGAUAAUACAUUACCCAAUCUUUUGAAGCUGAUUGGAAUAAAAAGGUUAUUCAACCUUAUAAUAUUCAUAAAUAAGGAAAGACAGUUCAGAAUUUAAAGAACCUGCCAAUAUAUGAAUAAUUUUAGAAUACUUGCUUAAUAAAGAGUAAGAUUUAGAUACUUGCCUUGUUUGUAGACUAUUUGUACAAUUUCAGCUUAACUUAUGUAUUCUCACAGAUCCUACACAAUUAGUUGCAUUUACAAGCAUAUUAGCCAAAUGGACAAGUCAUAUAGCUUGUAUGUUCACAUAUCACAUAAUCACAGUGAUCAUGUUUUUAGUUUAUAUUCUCAUACGUGAGAUAUUUAUUUACAUUUUUCAAAUAUCUCAAUCAUGUUCUUACAAUAGCCUUUUUCUUUCUUUUAUGGGUCUAAUAUAAUUUCUGUUCAUUGAGUUUAGUUCAUAUUUCUUUUACUUCCUUCAUUUGUCAGAAGUAUACUUUGCAAUUUUCCUUAUAUUUAGGUAUUCAAGGUGAAUACCUAAGGUAUUUCAUGUAUUAGGUAUGAUUGUUUAUCAAAAAGGUAGAACUUGUAGUUCCCAAUUUGCUUUGCAAAUUAUAUUGCCAAACUAUUUGUUUAAACUUAUUGCGUUUCUUAGUUAUGUCAAAACAGCCCUCCUUAGCCAAAUCUAUCUUGCAGCCUUUUUUGUUGCUCCCACAAUUCUUUUGUAUAAUUUAAUUUGGUUUAGUAACCUCUUACCAUUUUACUACACAGACUAAAUUUUCCUUUUGUUUUCUCUAUUUAGCUAAGUGAGUCUAGUAGCUCACUUAAAUAAACUAACAGACUCUUAGCAUUUCUUUUUCUUCAUGAUAUUAGUCAAUUAUAUUUGACUUUGUGGGAUUUUAGUGUGGCUUCACAUUGCAUUAGUGGUCAGCUAAUAAUUAUUUCUGCAAAUGUGCAGCAGUUCCAAUAUAAGUCGAGCUGCUCCAAAACUGUCACAGCAGUUACCUAACGUUAUACAUCACGUUUUCCGUGAGUUACAAAAUAGAACCACCUGGCUUCUUUUUACUACUGUUAGUAGCUUAAUAAUGCCUGUACUUGCUGCUGUUAUUAGCAUUUUGUUUUAAUCUGUUAGCAUUAUGUUAUGGAAUAUUACAUAGUUUAUAUGUAUAUCUUAAUUAUAAAGAGGCACAAGUUGGCUAUCUUAGAAAUUUAACUACACCAAGUAAGAGUUCAAUAAAGGACUCCCCACCCGGGACUGUACUCAGCCACUGCUGCUGCCACGGGCAGCAGCUCUGUUCUUAAUUAAUGCCAUUUUUUUACUUUCUAUUGGUAAGUUAUUUACACCCUUUAUUAGAGAGGUAAAAUAGUGCACCCAUCCUUCAAAUAACUUGCAAAUUACAGUCAUUACCUUUAGUAUGCAAACCAAAUUGGUGCCACACUGGCUGACUGGCUUUGCAGCACAGCGAAGCACAGCGCUGGGCGCUAGCUACUGCUGCCUGCAGCAGCCCCAGCCAGCCCAAACCUCCCCAGGCCCUUCUUUUGAUUGCUACAUUUCCUUUGUUACACUUGCUAUUUCUUUUCUUUUUAUUGCACCAAAGUUCCAGUAGAUUUUAGAUGUGAUAGCAACCAAAUAAUAAAACAUACUAAGUUCUCAAAUUCAACAUCUUAAGCUGCCCAAAACAGUUUGCCAACAUAGGUUGUCAUACCAAAAUCCCCUUUUUUGUCUUAGCUUAAAAAAAAUAGUUUUCAUUCCAUUUAACAAGGUACAACACUUUACUUACCCUCAAGCAUGACAUAUAUAUAUUACCCAUGCUUUAAUUCUACCGAAUAAACAAUUAUUAAGCAAAACAGUUCAUUGAUGAAUUUUAUCAAACACUUUACAGGCACUGUUUUGCAACACCCAUGUCUUAGCUAUUUAUUUUCUUUAAACUCCCGAUUAACUCCCUUAUUACUCCACAACCACUUAUCUCCUUAUUCCUAAAUUCAGUCUAUAACAAUAAAACUCAACCAAAAUCAUAUAUAUUCAAUGAAUUAGCAACUAAUUAGUUUAUGCUAAUAUUAUACUAUCACACUAGAUUCAAAUUGUUGCAAUAUAAACUGAACAAAUAUUUCAAACAUAACACCACUAUAUAAUAUCUCCUAGAUUUCACUCCGGUUUAAACAAACCAAUUGACUACCUUCAAUUUUAACAGAAAAGAUAAGAGGAAGAAUUAAAAGUACAAUUAUUAAAUUCAUACCUCCCGCUUGAUAUGUUCCCACUCAACUCACAACUCCCAGCUACAGUAAUUCUUCUUCCUGAAUAACCCCAAACUUGGGUAUUCUCCCAGCUCGUAAAAAUUACAGAGUUUCAAUAUUUUCCUAUCACUUCUGUGUGGCUUAAGAAAGAAACUGAUCGAUACAACGUGAAGCUCUGUUUUAUAAGAAGUCUGGCUUUGCUAAACACGUUAUAGGCGAACUGAGUUGUAGAGCUAAGUUAAUAUAUAAUUGCCAACACCUGCUAAACUAAUAGAUCA
Molecule: long non-coding RNA, 8757 nt
Filed under: Panax ginseng (ginseng)
Lineage: Eukaryota; Viridiplantae; Streptophyta; Magnoliopsida; Apiales; Araliaceae
Description: long non-coding RNA (PGIN_LNC001090)
Source: RNAcentral